RNAcentral lists this ribosomal RNA (253 nucleotides) under uncultured bacterium. Its description in RNAcentral is "partial 16S ribosomal RNA". It matches the Rfam family "Bacterial small subunit ribosomal RNA", at positions 524 to 776 of the family's 1533-position model. The record is from RNAcentral.
UACGUAGGGACCAAGCGUUGUUCGGAUUUACUGGGCGUAAAGGGCGCGUAGGCGGCGUGGUAAGUCAGUUGUGAAAUCUCCGAGCUUAACUCGGAACGGCCAACUGAUACUGCUGUGCUAGAGUGCAGAAGGGGCAAUCAGAAUUCUUGGUGUAGCGGUGAAAUGCGUAGAUAUCAAGAGGAGUACCUGAGGUGAAGACGGGUUGCUAGGCUGACACUGACGCUGAGGCGCGAAAGCCAGGGGAGCAAACGGG